RNAcentral lists this transfer RNA (75 nucleotides) under Thermodesulfovibrionia bacterium. RNAcentral's name for it is "tRNA-Gly". It matches the Rfam family "tRNA". Rfam says of the family: Transfer RNA (tRNA) molecules are approximately 80 nucleotides in length. Their secondary structure includes four short double-helical elements and three loops (D, anti-codon, and T loops). Further hydrogen bonds mediate the characteristic L-shaped molecular structure. tRNAs have two regions of fundamental functional importance: the anti-codon, which is responsible for specific mRNA codon recognition, and the 3' end, to which the tRNAs corresponding amino acid is attached (by aminoacyl-tRNA synthetases). tRNAs cope with the degeneracy of the genetic code in two manners: having more than one tRNA (with a specific anti-codon) for a particular amino acid; and 'wobble' base-pairing, i.e. permitting non-standard base-pairing at the 3rd anti-codon position. The record is from RNAcentral. RNAcentral also lists the same sequence under 1 other name. Lineage: Bacteria; Pseudomonadati; Nitrospirota; Thermodesulfovibrionia.
GCGGGAGUAGCUCAGUGGUAGAGCGUCAGCCUUCCAAGCUGAGGGUCGCGGGUUCGAGCCCCGUCUCCCGCUCCA